CCCCCGCUAGUUUAAUGGAUAAAACACGGCUCUCCUAAAGCUGGGCUCCUAGUUCGAUUCUAGGGCGGGGGG
Molecule: transfer RNA, 72 nt
Filed under: gamma proteobacterium HIMB55
Lineage: Bacteria; Pseudomonadati; Pseudomonadota; Gammaproteobacteria; Cellvibrionales; Halieaceae
Rfam family: tRNA
About the family: Transfer RNA (tRNA) molecules are approximately 80 nucleotides in length. Their secondary structure includes four short double-helical elements and three loops (D, anti-codon, and T loops).
Source: Rfam by way of RNAcentral